RNAcentral lists this unclassified non-coding RNA (360 nucleotides) under Hevea brasiliensis (rubber tree). Lineage: Eukaryota; Viridiplantae; Streptophyta; Magnoliopsida; Malpighiales; Euphorbiaceae. The record is from RNAcentral.
UGUCUUUACAAAGAUUUUUUUUUUUUAAUUUUUUGAUAUCGGUGUCAGAUAUUGGGUCUGACAAUCUGUUUGUUUCAUAACAUGUUGAAUAUCUUGGAUUUAUCUAUGCAAUGAUAAUGUGGACAUGACUCUGCUUGUAUAUUAUUAUGGAAAUGUAUAUGCAGUUCCUGCAUGUACAUAAUUAUGGGCAUGCUUCCUAGGCUACUGGUCCAGUCACAUUUCCCUGGAACGAUAUCACCUGUGCUAAGUUGGGGUGCUGACAUGAGGGGGUGCUUGCUAGUGAAAAUGUGAAAUGUUGGGUUGAUAUUUUGCUAAACGAAGCUCAUGACUUUUGUAGGGACUGGGUAUGAAAGAGGCAGA